Molecule: long non-coding RNA, 6231 nt
Organism: Lemur catta (Ring-tailed lemur)
Lineage: Eukaryota; Metazoa; Chordata; Mammalia; Primates; Lemuridae
Exons: 5
Source: RefSeq, a predicted model, not a curated record
CUCAGGAAACUGAGAGGAGCUGUCAAGAGGACUUAGGAAAAUACCGUGGAGCUGGCAUCGGCCACAGCAUGGGGUGACGGGAAGGGGACAGACCUGGCUGUUCCACUGACUCAUUCUGUCUCCUCUCCCAGGUCACCUCCUGACAGGCCAGGAACUUCCCAUGGGUCUGUCACACGAUAGCAAACUCCUCCUGUGUGUGGAGUGCUGUGCUGUUUCGAGGCACGCCGCACACCCUGCUUUGAGAAGUUUGAGGUCAGCAGCUCACCCAGCAAGCCCCUUGCCAGCACCUUCCACUGACCCUCGCAGGGGAAGCAGAUGCAUCUUGAAGAGAUUUUCACAAGGGAUGGAGCAUCUGGUCUCAUGCUACCUGGACAGGAAUACAGGAUCUGGACAUGAAAAGAAAACACUGGACCAGUCACGCAUCCUGAGAUUAGUCGAGACACAUGGGACCUUUCACCUCCUGCUCGCGUGGGUGGCUGACUGUGGCCAGAGGUGUCCAUGAGCAUUUGGCACUUGGCAGCUGCUGCUGGACCACGGCGAAAUCAGAUCCAAGACCCAGAGCAGUUCGGGGAACAGGUGCCCACACAGCACAUGGUGUGAGGAGUCUCUGGCUAGAGGAAGGCGGCUGCCUGUCUGGCUUCCUUGAUGUGCCCGCCAGAAAAGGAGAGCCUUGCGUGUCCAGUGAGUGGCCCGAGCUGAGCAAAGCUGCCGUGGACACGGUGCCCUCUGAGUUUCCUGUUUCCUCCUCUGCACUGUUUGAGAAUCGAGAUUACUCAAGCUUCAUAAAAUGAUUCCAAGGAAUAUUCCAUUUGUUUCUAUGCUCUAGAAGAGGUCUUAUGUCAUGGAAGUCAUGUAUUUCUUUUAGCAAUACCUUUAUAGUGAGAAAGUUGAAUUGUGAUCUAUGUUAAGAAUAGUAAGUAUAGUAGCAACAUGAAGAACAGUUUGGAACAGGGAGAUACUUGCUACUGGCUGGGUUCUGCAAAAGCUAAAUCUGAGGCAGAAUUUUUUUCUUUAACAUUUCUUUUAGUGAAGGUGUGCUGGUGAUAACAUCUGUUUUUAUUUGUUUAGCUUUAAUAUAAAAUCUAUAAAACUCUAAAUUGACAAGUUUUUUUUUCUCUUUGAUCGCUUUAAAGAUGUAUUAUAAUUCAGUUUUCUUGUGGCUUGCAUAGUUUUUGACAAAUGUCUGUCCUUCUGUUUGGAAUGUGCCUUUUUUCCUCUGGCUGCUUUGAAGAUUUGCUUUUUAUCACUAGUUUUGAGUAAUUUUAUUAGGUUGUGCCUUGGUGUGGUUUUCUUGAUGUUUAUUCAGAUUAGAGUUUAUUGGGCUAAAUGGAUCUGUGAAUUAUAGUUUCCAUCAAAUUUAAAGUACUUUGGGCAUUUCUUCAAAUAUUAUUUCUUGCCCUCUUCUCUCUUCUUUCUUUUUAUAACUUCAGUUACACAUAUGUUAGGCAGCUUGAUGCUGUCUAACGAGUAAUUCAGAAUCUAGUUGUUACAACGUUCACUCAGUUCACUCAUUUUUCUCUCUAUGACUUAUUUUGGAUAGUUUCUCUUGCCAUGCUUUUAUGUACACUGAUCUUUUGCAGUGUCUAAUAUUUUCUUAACCCAAUUCAGUAAAAGUUUAUAUUUUAGAGAUAUUUAUCUCUGGGAAUUUUAUUUAGUUCUUUUUUAUAUUUUUUUCUUUCUCUUAUUAUAUUUAUGUUCUUCCUUCAACCAUUGACCAUAAUAAGAAUAUUUACCAAGGCUGUUUUAAAGUCCCUUUCUGCUAACUUUACUGCCUGAAUCCUAUCUAGUUCUGCUUUUAUUGAUUGAGAUUUCUCCUUGUAUCUGUUGUAUCUUCCUGUUUCUUAAUGUGUCUAGUGAUUUUCAGUUAGAUAUCUCGUACUUUUGACUUUUUAGUGCUAGAUUUUUUUAAAAGAGUGUUAAGCUUUGUUCUGGCAGGUACUUAAGUUAUUUGUGGGCUAAUUUGAUAUUUUUGAGGCAUAUUUUUAAUCUUUUGUGGGUUUUCUUUUAGGAUCAGCUUAGUACCACUGCUAUGGCAUGGUCCUUCCUUGGUCUCUACUGAACACCCUGUGUAUUCCGCAGGUUUUCUCUCCUCUUACUGCUGGAAGUCAAAAGUGUUCCUGCUCUGUCUGAGUAACCCCGGGGAUUAUUUGGCCUAGAGCUGUUACACCUUUUCUACACCUGGAAGCUCUUUGUCAUCUAACAUCAUGAAGAUCCACUCUGUGCAUGUGCAGACUACCAUUUAUCCAGUUACUCGAGGGGGCGCCUGGGGAGAUUUCUCAAGCUCUUCCUUUGCACAGCUCACUGCUGCCCGGCGCUCUGCCCUGCAAGGCCUUCCGUCGUCCAGACUCUGACUUCUGUCUCCUCACCUCAGGGAUGCUGCCUCGCUCUCCCUGCACGUCCGUCUGCAGUUUGCUUCCCAGAAGCAAGAUGAGGAGCUCUUGGACUCGCCUUGUUUGUUUCCUUUCUUUGAAGGAUGAUAGUCUUGAACGUCAUAUUUUCCAGUCUCUGCAAAUGGUUGUUUCACAUAGUUUGUCCAGUUUAAAAUAGAACAAGUCUCAACUUUUUGACUCCCUUUAGCCAGAUGCAGUAUUUGAUUUUUAAUAUAUAAUUAAAAUCAUUUACACAAUUUUGUACCUGGUUUUUAAAACUUACAUAAUCUUUUAUAUUGAUUACAUGCUACUUCGGCUGCCUGAUCAGCAUCUUUCUUUCUCUCUCUCUUAUCAAGUUAUGAUUUGACUGACUGGUGUUUUAAUGUAACUUCAUGUGUUUGUCUAUAGGACAUAAAGAUUGUUUCCAUCUUUUGCAGACUUAUGAUAAACACUUGGGGCUUGGCUGUCCUCCUGAUGUCUUUGUCGCCACCUUAUCUAACAGCUCACUCUGUCUUUUCCUGAUGUAGAUUCUGCAACAAUGGAGCCUACCUGAGACGCUCCCUAAGAAAAGAGCUCAUGAUAGAGCAAGUUUGGGAAAUACCACAUGCUACAUCCUCUUAGGAGUCUUAAUGCACCCUAACUUGUUAACUUUUAAGUAAUUUUGCAUAAAGAAACCAUAAUUAUGUUUUUGUUGUUACCUUAAUAUUUUGGAACGUUGUAUAUAACUUUUAUUAUUAUUUUGUCAAACAACACCCGAAGCAGGCAAUUUUCAGUGUCAAACAGUAGGGCCAGAAGCACGUGCUCUUCCAUCAAGGCCUGGGGCCCCGCCACUGCUGCCCACCCAUCAGGUACUCCAGCCCCAAAAGGGCUGGAAGUGAGAGUGCAGGGGAGAGAGCGGCCAUUCCAGGGGCAGGGCCCAGGGCUGGUAGGUGCCUGAGCGAAGGGUCCUGGGAGGAGGUUCAGCAGCCAUAUCCCACGGAGGCUCCAGGGCCCCCAAGAAGUAGGCUUGCUAGGAAACACAAUGCCAUGGGACUUCUCCGAGUCUUUGUUUCCCACAGAUCCUAGGAAAGGUUGUGGUGGGAUCGGGGAGUGUGAAGCUUGAGGCCCAGAGUCUCAGCCUGAUACACUGGACUAUGGGGGACAACCCCAAAGGAUGCAGACUCUGGUCUCCCAAGUCCCCUCUGUGGCAGCCUCAGUUCUCUGGACACCUCUAUGUCCCCAUCCUGAGGGAUAGGCUGGCUGAAGGGAAGUGUGGUGAGAGGCCAGAUGCAGGGCGGUUUGUGGUGCCCGAUUCCAGGCAGCAGGUCCUAUAGGAGAGCAGAGCCCAGGCCCACCCAGUGCUGGCAGCUGGCACGGAGGCAGGUGGCAUGUUCCCUCCAUGCCACACAGUUCUGCUGCUGGACGGGCCCAGAGAGGACGGCCGUGUGAGAGUCUGGUGGUUCUGAUACCCCAGCGUGGAGACACCUUCCACUCACAGCCUGUCUCCAUACAGUGUCUGGCCCCUGUCACACGGCUGGAGGGCCGGGGUAAAGACGGGUUCACCCCAAAGACAGAGUUGCCUCCUGGGGCUUUGUAUCCACCCAAAGAGAAGAUGUGAGUCUGGUCAGUGGGAAUUGUAGGCCUGUGGGACCCCUAGCACAGCUGUCCCAAGCCAACUGGGACAUGUGGUCACCCUCCACAUUCGGACCACAGGAGGCUGCUCUUGUCCCAUGUGGGGGUGUCCGGAGGACAGAGAGACUCAGGCAGGGAGGUGAACGAGGCUGUUCCGAUGACCCUGAAGAGAUCUGGCGAGGCCAGAGCUAAGUCAGUGCAGACGUGAAGAAAGCAAAUGAUUUGAGAAUUUUCGAGAAAAACUCAGUACCACAUCCAUCCUACAACCCAUUCUGUUCCUCUAGACAUCCUGUGUCUGGGCCUGAGUGGACUAUUUGCGGCUCGUCAAAGCACUAUGUUUUCCUGUCUUUCCACUGUAGCCACUGCCAUUCCCGGUGCUGGGAAUGCUGUCUUCCUAUUGUCACCUGUUGGAUGCUGCCUUUGACGAUCUCUUCCGUGGUGGCCUUUCUGAGGUUUAAAAUUCACUCAGCGCUUCUACUUCCUGCAUAAUGAUGUUUUCCAACUUAAUGAAUAAAAGCAAAUCAAUAAACAGAUGGUACCUGGCAGCGUGAACAACCCACCCCUUUGCAGUGGCCGUGCCUGAACGUGGCCGGGGGUUCCCGCCAGUGGGGAGUGGCGUCUUUAUGGUAUCCCCUUCACAGUCCCGUCUUUGCCUCUCUUACCGUCCUCACCGUUUGUGCUGUUUUAAAUCACUUGGGUGAAUAAGCCUAACGGUGAAAGGUGCUCAGCAAACGUAGCAAUAAGCAAACCAGCAUCCAGGCAGCAGUUCAGAAAUUGACAGUGACAUUUCUUAACUGGAGAGGACCAGCCCAUGACACAGCCUCUCCUCCGGAUCAGGUCACUGGGGAGGUCUGUGAACAAGACCCCCGUCUCCUUACCUGCUUCUCCCAUGCCCCGGAGGGUGGUGGCGUCCUGGAGGAAAGUCUAGGCCUGUUGGAGAAUACAGGUGGGCAGGUGAGGCAGGUGUGCCUGCUGGUUCAUGUUGUCCUCACUUGAUGCUCGUGUGCUUGGAGCUCUCUCAUCAUUUUGAUAGAUCUGUAGCGAUUUUGUAAGGCACAUGGUUGUAUUUUAUGCUACAGGGCUUCAUCGUUACUGGGCACCCAUUUUCCUGGCCAGAAAACAUUUUCCAAAGCAAUGAAUAAAACUAAAUGAGGCAGUGGAGUCUUUACCUUGUGAGCUGAACAGUCCACCUGUCUGUAACGACUGUGCCUGGAGGCAUCCAGAGGCCAUCGUGAGCAGAACGCCAGCAGGAGGGACCCUGCAGUGUCCCUGGCCCCAGCAUCUGGCUUGGGCUAUUCAGGCAGACAGGCAUUUUUACUAGCUUUUUUUUUCUAUGGAAUUUUUAAGUUGUUUGCCGGAAUUGGCUGCAUUAAUCAAACGGUUGUUUCUGCGAGACAUCGUUUAUGUUUGCUGGAACCGUGGAGGGCUCCGUGGGCACUGUUUGUGCUCUCUGAAAGUACACUCUGAGCCAGAAAGUGAAAUGCCAUUGGUUUGAUUUCAUCGCCAAGCCCUGAAGACAAAUUCUCACCCCCUCUGGAUUUAUAGUUGGUCUCGUGACGAAGUAGGAGGAGAGGAACUUGUGGAAAUGUCAGACAAGAGAGGACAAAAUUCUGGGUCUCUAAGGUCAAGAACGUGGAAGAAAAAAGUGACCUCCAAGCCUCGUCCAGGCCCCAGGCGCUUCCUUCCACCGAGAAGGGGAGGUUUAACUUCUGAGCACUCAGCACCCCUGCAGAGCUCAUGGAGCUCCACCCGGGCUCAGAACACGAGGACAUCGUGCAUAAGGGCUGGCAAUGUCCAACCAGGUGCCCAAGACACUGGUAGUUACUUGUUCGUAUUAUUCCCAAAUACCAAAUUUAACAAAAUUGUGUAGAUAAUUCAUUACAGCUUACUACUUGAGGUUGUGUUCAUUUUAUUUUCAGAUGGCAUUCAUUAUUUCUCCAGAGAAUAAAAGCAAUAUAAGAAUCCUGUAAAAAAAUUAGAAAAUAAAAAAGUAUAAAAAUGAAAAUAAAAUCAUCUAUAAGCAUACAAUUCAUAUAUAGCUUCUGGGAAUAUUUUGAUAUUUUUCUUUUGUAUUUUAUUAACCUUUCCCCAUGACCUUUAAUAUUCCAUGAGAAUGUAAUUUUUAUGGAUUCAUAAUACUUCAUAUUAUGGUCGUGCCGUAAACUUUUUGGCAUUCUUCUGCCAUUGGUUAUUUAAGUUCUUUUUACUUUUUUCACUGUUAUAAAUAAGAUUGCAUUAAACAUCCUUGCAC